GUGAUAUGGCUAUGGAUUUAUUGGAUGAAUACUCUUCAAAGCAAAGUGUUGGAUUCUGUUGCCGCGCCCUCUAGUUCGCUUGGUGCAGGUCGGGAACUUAAUUCGCCGAUUGCGUGUGAAUUUUGCGGUGAAUUUGAGCUCUCCAAUCGUACAUGAUGCGUGUGCGUGGUGAAAAAACAUUUGAUUGCCGCUCAAUUUGGCGAAAAUCAGGUUCCUGCCUUGCAUCAACUGAAUCGGAGGCCGCGGUGAAUGAUUAUUUAUUGGAUUCACGUGGAUCUGCGAUUGAUAUGGCUGAAGGUACCUGGCAUUGAUAGCUUAGAGAUUAUGAUCUACGUGCACAUCUUUCUGGAUUAGUUUUCGGUGAUGUGGUGCCGUGGACGAGUUUGAUAUGAACAGGGAUUUUUCAUUUUUGCAAGAAUUUGAUCAAAGAAAAGAUCUCCAUAAAGAUGAUGGAUUUAAGAGUUGGAGGUGUGGAAUGAAAAUUUGAAUUAUUCACCUUAGUGUGACUACUGACUAGUUUCAUCAAUUCUUCAGUGUGACGAUGGUAAACAGGUAAAAGGACAGAGAAAAGCAUAGAGCUAAAGUCAGCGGAUCCAUUGAUACACUGAUACUGUCUGAAGGCAUGACUAUGGUGCAAAUUCUUGACCUAUAAAUUGUUUCUACAUUAAUAUCUACAUUGAUCUCUUGGAUGCAGCUAUAAAUGAAUUUAUAUUCUACAAAAAAAAAUGGGGAAGAAAAAAUGUUACUGCUCCUACUAUUUAUUUAAUCAUUUUUACUGCUGAUAUGCGAAAUGGAUCGUAUACUCAUUAGUUUCUUUUCAUAAUAGUCUUUUUAUUCAUGUUUCUUUUUGUCCAAACUGUGUACUUAUCAGAUUUAAGCAGUUAUCAAUUUUAGGAGCUGAUGAGAUAAUUAGAUUUCUGAAAAUAACUUGUUGGAGUGAGCUACUGAUGAGAAUUAGUCCUGUAAUUUGUUUGUAUUUUGGGCCGGCUAAGGGUAUAAUGAAGGAUUUCUAAUUCUUUACA
Long non-coding RNA from Salvia splendens (bonfire salvia), 1022 nucleotides. RefSeq lists it as uncharacterized. The record is from RefSeq and is a predicted model, not a curated record. The transcript is spliced from 2 exons. Lineage: Eukaryota; Viridiplantae; Streptophyta; Magnoliopsida; Lamiales; Lamiaceae.